This 253-nucleotide ribosomal RNA is filed under the name uncultured bacterium. Its description in RNAcentral is "partial 16S ribosomal RNA". It matches the Rfam family "Bacterial small subunit ribosomal RNA", at positions 524 to 776 of the family's 1533-position model. The record is from RNAcentral.
UACGUAGGUGGCAAGCGUUGUCCGGAUUUAUUGGGUUUAAAGGGUGCGUAGGCGGUCUUAUAAGUCAGUGCUGAAAUAUCCCGGCUUAGCCGGGAGGGUGGCAUUGAUGCUGUAGGACUUGAGUAAAGUUGAGGUUGGCGGAAUUGACGGUGUAGCGGUGAAAUGCUUAGAUAUCGUCAAGAACACCUAUAGCGAAGGCAGCUAACUAAACUUUAACUGACGCUGAGGCACGAAAGUGUGGGGAUCAAACAGG